This is a long non-coding RNA of Schistocerca americana (American grasshopper), 300 nucleotides long. RefSeq lists it as uncharacterized. The record is from RefSeq and is a predicted model, not a curated record. NCBI's taxonomy places the organism in Eukaryota, Metazoa, Arthropoda, Insecta, Orthoptera, Acrididae. The transcript is spliced from 3 exons.
GUGAAACCAGCUGUGGUUGACAGAGUAGCUGUUCUCCGUGCUAUCAACAGGCGAAUUUCUCCACUGAAACUAAUUCCGUAUUUUUUUUGUAUGGAGGAUGGACAUAUAACAUUUCUAGUGAAUAACUGCAAAGCUCCCCUGACAACAUUGUUCAAACAGAAUCUUAAAGUACCAUUUCAUUCUAUUCAGAUUGAAAUGAAAGUCGAGCUUUGUGCCAAGAAAGUGAGCCUCUCUGCAAUUCUGCAGAGAAUUAUUAAUAAAAGGCUCAGUUGUGAGAAAACAGUUUUAGACCUAUCAUAC